Molecule: ribosomal RNA, 254 nt
Filed under: uncultured bacterium
Lineage: Bacteria
Description: partial 16S ribosomal RNA
Rfam family: Bacterial small subunit ribosomal RNA
Source: RNAcentral
UACAGAGGUCCCAAGCGUUGUUCGGAUUCACUGGGCGUAAAGGGUGCGUAGGCGGUCGGGUAAGUCUGAUGUGAAAUCUCCAAGCCUAACUUGGAAACUGCAUUGGAUACUAUCCGGCUAGAGGAAUGGAGGGGAGACUGGAAUACUUGGUGUAGCAGUGAAAUGCGUAGAUAUCAAGUGGAACACCAGUGGCGAAGGCGAGUCUCUGGACAUUUUCCUGACGCUGAGGCACGAAAGCCAGGGGAGCAAACGGG